GACGAACGCUGGCGGCAUGCUUUACACAUGCAAGUCGAACGGGGUGAGGGGGCAACUCUUCAUUCAGUGGCGAACGGGUGAGUAAUACAUCGGAACGUACCCCGUAGUGGGGGAUAACUCGGCGAAAGCCGUGCUAAUACCGCAUAUGCUCUACGGAGGAAAGCAGGGGACCGCAAGGCCUUGUGCUAUGGGAGCGGCCGAUGUCCGAUUAGCUAGUUGGUGAGGUAAUGGCNCACCAAGGCGACGAUCGGUAGCUGGUCUGAGAGGAUGAUCAGCCACACUGGGACUGAGACACGGCCCAGACUCCUACGGGAGGCAGCAGUGGGGAAUUUUGGACAAUGGGGGCAACCCUGAUCCAGCCAUGCCGCGUGCGGGAAGAAGGCCUCGG
Molecule: ribosomal RNA, 388 nt
Filed under: uncultured bacterium
Lineage: Bacteria
Description: bacterial SSU rRNA
Rfam family: Bacterial small subunit ribosomal RNA
Source: RNAcentral